Molecule: long non-coding RNA, 745 nt
Filed under: Schizosaccharomyces pombe (fission yeast)
Lineage: Eukaryota; Fungi; Ascomycota; Schizosaccharomycetes; Schizosaccharomycetales; Schizosaccharomycetaceae
Source: RNAcentral
UAGCUCAUAACUGAACUGUGAAACGAGGUUCAGUAGAAGCUCUAUUUACAAUCUUACUAAUAGUUUUUAUCAACGGGUAUCUAUAAUACAAUGUAGAGCUUGUGACAUAUAGAAAUACGCAACAUGGUGUAUCAUAGAGUAGUCCAGUAUUGCUGUCAUUCCUAACAGUCGUUUACUCGUUACGACUUUCAUGCUCUCUCUUGUGCUGAAGGCUUGUUUUCUGCUCUAUUUUUCAUUCAAGACGCUGAAAAGCGAAUAGAUAGAAUGCGAUUUAGUUUAAGAGAUUUUCGCGGUUCAGGAAAGAAGUUUUCAACAUUUUGCAAUAGGAAUGAAUCAGUUCCCAAGUUGAAAGUCAUUGGUUUCAUUAACUGAGCGUCUCAUUUGCAGAUAUUUCGUUGAAUGUCAAAAAGGAAAGAAUUAAAGCGAUAAUUAGUAUGCUUUAAAAUCCCUCCAAUAUUUGCAAUUAGGAAAAUUUUGCCUUAAACUGAAUUUCGUACUUUCUACUGCUGCUAUAAAUGAUUAUGAUCUUUCUGUCUAAAACAACAGGUGCUUGUUUACUGACGCUAUACAUAUCGAGCUUACUUAUACAUAUAUUAAGACUUAGGUAAACCGUUUAUUUUCACAGCGUCUAAACUGUUUAACGAAAUAUAGAUUUUUAAAGAUAAAGCUAGCGAAAAAGGAAAACAGUAUAAUAAUAAUAAUGAAUUAUAAGCGGCCAUUAUCCGAAAUGAAAUAUGAAAAUGCA